ACUACGCUGGCGGCGUGCUUAACACAUGCAAGUCGAACGAAAAAUCAUUGAAAGCUUGCUGAUAUGAUUUUUAGUGGCGGACGGGUGAGUAACGCGUGAGGACUUGUCUUAUACAGGGGGACAACAGUUGGAAACGGCUGCUAAUACCCCAUAAGCCUUCGGGUAAAAGGAGCAAUCCGGUAUUCGAGAGACUCGCGUCCUAUCAGCUAGUAGGUGAGGUAACGGCUCACCUAGGCGAAGACGGGUAGCCGGCCUGAGAGGGUGGACGGCCACACUGGGACUGAGACACGGCCCAGACUCCUACGGGAGGCAGCAGUAGGGAAUAUUGCGCAAUGGACGGAAGUCUGACGCAGCGACGCCGCGUGAGCGAUGAAGGUCUUCGGAUCGUAAAGCUCUGUCCUUGGGGAAGAAGGCGAAAGCUUGACGGUACCCAAGAAGAAAGCCCCGGCUAACUACGUG
RNAcentral lists this ribosomal RNA (459 nucleotides) under uncultured bacterium. Its description in RNAcentral is "bacterial SSU rRNA". It matches the Rfam family "Bacterial small subunit ribosomal RNA", at positions 33 to 507 of the family's 1533-position model. The record is from RNAcentral.